CUUGCCAUUGUCGGUGUCAGUAAUGGGCUUUACAGACCCAAAGAGUGGGAUUUUAAAAGUCUUCCCCAUAAAUAAACGAGAAGAAAGCAAUCUCUUGGCCCCGGAGACCACUUCCUAGCCUAGGAUAAGCACCCACUAUCAAAUUGUGGAGCCAGGCUAAUGAAAGUGGACUGGAGAAAUCUACCCCGAGGAAAGGGAAGCCUGGUUUUGUGGGGGUGUGGGUGCGUGCUUGGCUCAUCCCAACGUGUUGGCCUUCUGGCUAGCAGGAGGAAUUAAUUCUGGCCUCUGCAGCAGCCCUCGCUUCUUUGCCAAAAGGCAAGAGGCUGGAGUCCUGCUCGCGGCUCCCUCCUCCUCCUGCCACCUACACAUCCACGAGUCACUUCCAAGGGUGGAGAAGGCUUUGAAGUCGGUAGUGACGCCGUGGAGGGUGAAGGCUUCGGAGAACUGAAGAGGUGAACACAGGGCCAGCAGAUAAGCAACCUAAACAACCAAGAGUGCACUCCCAGGCACAGAAUGAAGAAUUUCUGACAAUGAGUUUUUGCCUGGCUUUUGCUUAGUCUAGUUUUUAGAGCUAUGAAGGAUGAUGUUCCUGAACUUGGCUAAGCCAGAAAUGGAAGGCCAGCUGGGUGUCAGCGUAAUGAACCAGUGAACAUCAGCUCUCCCAUAUGGGGCUAAGGAAGGAUGAAGAAUCCAGCGGGAAAGACCGAGAGCACAUGGCUU
RNAcentral lists this long non-coding RNA (720 nucleotides) under Homo sapiens (human). RNAcentral describes it as "HSALNT0195237". The record is from RNAcentral. Lineage: Eukaryota; Metazoa; Chordata; Mammalia; Primates; Hominidae.